Molecule: ribosomal RNA, 988 nt
Filed under: uncultured Klebsiella sp.
Lineage: Bacteria; Pseudomonadati; Pseudomonadota; Gammaproteobacteria; Enterobacterales; Enterobacteriaceae
Description: bacterial SSU rRNA
Rfam family: Bacterial small subunit ribosomal RNA
Source: RNAcentral
UCGAGCGGUAGCACAGAGAGCUUGCUCUCGGGUGACGAGCGGCGGACGGGUGAGUAAUGUCUGGGAAACUGCCUGAUGGAGGGGGAUAACUACUGGAAACGGUAGCUAAUACCGCAUAACGUCGCAAGACCAAAGUGGGGGACCUUCGGGCCUCAUGCCAUCAGAUGUGCCCAGAUGGGAUUAGCUAGUAGGUGGGGUAACGGCUCACCUAGGCGACGAUCCCUAGCUGGUCUGAGAGGAUGACCAGCCACACUGGAACUGAGACACGGUCCAGACUCCUACGGGAGGCAGCAGUGGGGAAUAUUGCACAAUGGGCGCAAGCCUGAUGCAGCCAUGCCGCGUGUAUGAAGAAGGCCUUCGGGUUGUAAAGUACUUUCAGCGGGGAGGAAGGCGAUAAGGUUAAUAACCUUGUCGAUUGACGUUACCCGCAGAAGAAGCACCGGCUAACUCCGUGCCAGCAGCCGCGGUAAUACGGAGGGUGCAAGCGUUAAUCGGAAUUACUGGGCGUAAAGCGCACGCAGGCGGUCUGUCAAGUCGGAUGUGAAAUCCCCGGGCUCAACCUGGGAACUGCAUUCGAAACUGGCAGGCUAGAGUCUUGUAGAGGGGGGUAGAAUUCCAGGUGUAGCGGUGAAAUGCGUAGAGAUCUGGAGGAAUACCGGUGGCGAAGGCGGCCCCCUGGACAAAGACUGACGCUCAGGUGCGAAAGCGUGGGGAGCAAACAGGAUUAGAUACCCUGGUAGUCCACGCCGUAAACGAUGUCGAUUUGGAGGUUGUGCCCUUGAGGCGUGGCUUCCGGAGCUAACGCGUUAAAUCGACCGCCUGGGGAGUACGGCCGCAAGGUUAAAACUCAAAUGAAUUGACGGGGGCCCGCACAAGCGGUGGAGCAUGUGGUUUAAUUCGAUGCAACGCGAAGAACCUUACCUGGUCUUGACAUCCACAGAACUUAGCAGAGAUGCUUUGGUGCCUUCGGGAACUGUGAGACAGGUGC